CGACCACUUAAGCCCUCGUUGCUUAGCGUUGGGAGCCUACCGCGGCUUUUGCGGUCGCUCCCCAAAGUCAGUGGCGGAGCCGGGUUCGUGCUCUAGGCGUAGUAGAUUUUCCAUCUCGCCUGCAGCCGGGCCGGUCCCCUGCCGUAAAACACCCCCUUUCUUAACAU
RNAcentral lists this unclassified non-coding RNA (167 nucleotides) under uncultured Xylariaceae. RNAcentral's name for it is "sequence contains ITS2". Lineage: Eukaryota; Fungi; Ascomycota; Sordariomycetes; Xylariales; Xylariaceae. The record is from RNAcentral.